Molecule: non-coding RNA, 30 nt
Filed under: Rattus norvegicus (Norway rat)
Lineage: Eukaryota; Metazoa; Chordata; Mammalia; Rodentia; Muridae
Source: RNAcentral
UGCAUAAGGUCAGUGCAUGGUUGUUGCCUC